Molecule: ribosomal RNA, 400 nt
Filed under: uncultured bacterium
Lineage: Bacteria
Description: bacterial SSU rRNA
Rfam family: Bacterial small subunit ribosomal RNA
Source: RNAcentral
UAUUGGACAAUGGGGGGAACCCUGAUCCAGCGACGCCGCGUGAGUGAAGAAGUAUUUCGGUAUGUAAAGCUCUGUCAGCAGGGAAGAAAGAAAUGACGGUACCUGACUAAGAAGCCCCGGCUAAAUACGUGCCAGCAGCCGCGGUAAUACGUAUGGGGCAAGCGUUAUCCGGAUUUACUGGGUGUAAAGGGAGCGCAGGCGGCGCGGCAAGUCAGAUGUGAAAGCCCGGGGCUCAACCCCGGGACUGCAUUUGAGACUGCCGUGCUGGAGUGUCGGAGAGGCAAGUGGAAUUCCUAGUGUAGCGGUGAAAUGCGUAGAUAUUAGGAGGAACACCAGUGGCGAAGGCGGCUUGCUGGACGAUAACUGACGCUGAGGCUCGAAAGCGUGGGGAGCAAACAGG